UACAGAGGGUGCAAGCGUUGUUCGGAAUUAUUGGGCGUAAAGGGCGCGUAGGCGGUGCGGUAAGUCUGUAGUGAAAUCUCUGGGCUCAACUCAGAGUCUGCUGCAGAAACUGCCGUGCUUGAGUGUGGGAGAGGUGAGUGGAAUUCCCGGUGUAGCGGUGAAAUGCGUAGAUAUCAGGAAGAACACCCGUGGCUAAGGCGGCUCUCUAGUACGGUACUGACGCUGAGACGCGAAAGCGUGGGGAGCGAACAGG
This 253-nucleotide ribosomal RNA is filed under the name uncultured bacterium. RNAcentral describes it as "partial 16S ribosomal RNA". It matches the Rfam family "Bacterial small subunit ribosomal RNA", at positions 524 to 776 of the family's 1533-position model. The record is from RNAcentral.